CCCGCUGAACUUAAGCAUAUCACUAAGCGGAGGAAAAGAAAUUAACUAAGAUUGCCUCAGUAACGGCGAGUGAAGCGGCAAAAGCCCAAACUGGAAAGCUCCGCCCUCCGGGCGGCGCGUUGUAAACUAGAGGACUUAUUCUCACCUGUGGGGGUCGCAGAAGUGACCUAGAAUGGUACGCCAAAGAGGGUGACAGCCCCGUAUGUGGUGACCCCCGCUAACGAGAAGGGUUCAAGGAGUCGGGUUGUUUGGAAAUGCAGCCCUAAUUCGGGAGAUAGACUUCUUCCAAGGCUAAAUAUUUAUGGGAAACCGAUAGCGAACAAGUACUGUGAAGGAAAGAUGAAAAGAACUUUGAAAAGAGAGUCAAAAGACUUGAAAUCGUUGAGAAGGAAGCGGUAGAAAUUUAUUCUUCCGGUGUCACUUAAGUGUUCCACUAGCGUAUCGGGGCGAAUCAGUACGUCAAAGGCUGACAGCUUCGCGUGCGUUUUGGGUUGCGGAGGUCUCACCGGUGAGGCAAGAUGGAGCUUCACUCCCACAAAAGCUGCAUGAAUCUGGCUUCACGGCAAUUCAGGUGUGCUCGUGGGCGUGGUGCUUGAGGAAGCCCUGUGCGAUCUUGCCAAAAUGGUUUUUACCGACCCGUCUUGAAACACGG
RNAcentral lists this ribosomal RNA (652 nucleotides) under uncultured fungus. Its description in RNAcentral is "eukaryotic LSU rRNA". It matches the Rfam family "Eukaryotic large subunit ribosomal RNA", at positions 24 to 664 of the family's 3401-position model. Lineage: Eukaryota; Fungi. The record is from RNAcentral.